AUUGAACGCUGGCGGAAUGCUUUACACAUGCAAGUCGAGCGGCAGCGCGGGGGCAACCCUGGCGGCGAGCGGCGAACGGGUGAGUAACAUAUCGGAACGUACCCAGUCGUGGGGGAUAACUAUCCGAAAGGAUAGCUAAUACCGCAUACGUCCUGAGGGAGGAAGCGGGGGAUCGCAAGACCUCGCGCGAUUGGAGCGGCCGAUAUCGGAUUAGCUAGUUGGUGGGGUAAAGGCUCACCAAGGCGACGAUCCGUAGCGGGUCUGAGAGGACGACCCGCCACACUGGAACUGAGACACGGUCCAGACUCCUACGGGAGGCAGCAGUGGGGAAUUUUGGACAAUGGGGGCAACCCUGAUCCAGCCAUUCCGCGUGAGUGAAGAAGGCC
RNAcentral lists this ribosomal RNA (386 nucleotides) under uncultured bacterium. Its description in RNAcentral is "bacterial SSU rRNA". It matches the Rfam family "Bacterial small subunit ribosomal RNA", at positions 29 to 416 of the family's 1533-position model. The record is from RNAcentral.